RNAcentral lists this ribosomal RNA (279 nucleotides) under Salmonella enterica subsp. enterica serovar Muenchen. RNAcentral describes it as "partial 16S ribosomal RNA". It matches the Rfam family "Bacterial small subunit ribosomal RNA", at positions 692 to 970 of the family's 1533-position model. RNAcentral also lists the same sequence under 10 other names. The record is from RNAcentral. Lineage: Bacteria; Pseudomonadati; Pseudomonadota; Gammaproteobacteria; Enterobacterales; Enterobacteriaceae.
AGAGAUCUGGAGGAAUACCGGUGGCGAAGGCGGCCCCCUGGACAAAGACUGACGCUCAGGUGCGAAAGCGUGGGGAGCAAACAGGAUUAGAUACCCUGGUAGUCCACGCCGUAAACGAUGUCUACUUGGAGGUUGUGCCCUUGAGGCGUGGCUUCCGGAGCUAACGCGUUAAGUAGACCGCCUGGGGAGUACGGCCGCAAGGUUAAAACUCAAAUGAAUUGACGGGGGCCCGCACAAGCGGUGGAGCAUGUGGUUUAAUUCGAUGCAACGCGAAGAACC